Molecule: ribosomal RNA, 447 nt
Filed under: uncultured bacterium
Lineage: Bacteria
Description: bacterial SSU rRNA
Rfam family: Bacterial small subunit ribosomal RNA
Source: RNAcentral
GCCCAGACUCCUACGGGAGGCAGCAGUGGGGAAUAUUGCACAAUGGGGGAAACCCUGAUGCAGCGACGCCGCGUGAGCGAUGAAGUAUUUCGGUAUGUAAAGCUCUAUCAGCAGGGAAGAAGAUGACGGUACCUGACUAAGAAGCCCCGGCUAACUACGUGCCAGCAGCCGCGGUAAUACGUAGGGGGCAAGCGUUAUCCGGAUUUACUGGGUGUAAAGGGAGCGUAGACGGCGAUGCAAGCCAGAUGUGAAAGCCCGGGGCUCAACCCCGGGACUGCAUUUGGAACUGUGUGGCUGGAGUGUCGGAGAGGCAGGCGGAAUUCCUAGUGUAGCGGUGAAAUGCGUAGAUAUUAGGAGGAACACCAGUGGCGAAGGCGGCCUGCUGGACGAUGACUGACGUUGAGGCUCGAAAGCGUGGGGAGCAAACAGGAUUAGAUACCCGAGUAA